This 65-nucleotide microRNA precursor is filed under the name Caenorhabditis briggsae. RNAcentral describes it as "microRNA cbr-mir-7579 precursor". The record is from miRBase by way of RNAcentral. Lineage: Eukaryota; Metazoa; Nematoda; Chromadorea; Rhabditida; Rhabditidae.
ACAGUAUUCUCUGUAGCCUUAUCAAUUUUCACUGUGUAAAAUUGAGGACCAGUAGAAUGCUGUAG